CUGUUAUAGGUUUUUAAAUUCCAGCUGACUUCAGAGGACAUGAAAGUCCUAAAUGGCCUGAACAAAAAUCUUCGUUAUAUUACCAUUGAUUUGGCUGCUGACCACCCUAAUUAUCCAUUUUCAGAUGAAUAUUAGGCCUUUCUUGACUUUCAGCAGAAGCCUCUGGAUGUGGACAGUGACAUGUAUGGUGUGUCAGAUGCUGAUUAGUUCACGCUUUACUUCUCACACAUUUAUGCUGAUUGUAUUUUCUCAUUCUGCUGAAGCUAACAACACAGAUCUGGAAGGAAGGCACUGAAAUAUUAUCACAUUUUAAUAAAUAAAUAUUGUUUGCCCUAACA
Molecule: long non-coding RNA, 338 nt
Organism: Octodon degus (degu)
Lineage: Eukaryota; Metazoa; Chordata; Mammalia; Rodentia; Octodontidae
Exons: 2
Source: RefSeq, a predicted model, not a curated record